RNAcentral lists this antisense RNA (75 nucleotides) under Streptomyces albus subsp. albus DSM 41398. RNAcentral's name for it is "ASpks TB sRNA". It matches the Rfam family "ASpks TB sRNA". Lineage: Bacteria; Bacillati; Actinomycetota; Actinomycetes; Kitasatosporales; Streptomycetaceae. The record is from Rfam by way of RNAcentral.
CUUCACCGAGCCGAGCCAGAGCGGGCGUUCGGCGGGGCGGUUCCUGCCGUAGGUGUCGAGGAGGGCCUGCGCCUC